This 874-nucleotide long non-coding RNA is filed under the name Homo sapiens (human). Its description in RNAcentral is "long non-coding RNA NONHSAT130706". Lineage: Eukaryota; Metazoa; Chordata; Mammalia; Primates; Hominidae. The record is from RNAcentral.
CCCCGGAGGACUGCCCGAUGGCGGCGGCACUGUUCGAGCCGCCCUGCAGCGGUGUGGAGACUCCGACCAGUUGGGGCAGGCGGCUCAGGUCGCGGCCAGCCAGGGGUUGGGAAACUAGUUUCCAUGGCCAAACCUAGCCCACCGUCUGUUUUGGUGUCCAUGGAUUGGCGGGGACAGCUCUGCUUAAGGAUGUAGUAGCUCUGCAGGUUGGCUAGUUUCCUGUUCUUCCCAACCUGCGCUAUGGACUUCAUCAGAUUUCAGCAUCAGAGAGAAUAUGGAAGGACAUCGACCCUAACUUCAUCCAGUGAGGAUUUCCACACACCAUACACUCUCUGAGAGUUCUCUUGGCUUUGUGUGCACACCUCCAGUGACAGGGAGCUCGCUAUGUCAUGAGGCAGCCUGCUCCCUUGUGGCUAUCACUGAACCAACUAUUAAGCCUUCUUAUACAAACAGUCCCUGACUUACUGUUAGACUUACAACUUUUUGAUUUUACAGUGGUGCAAAAGCAAUAUGCAUUCCAUAGAAACUGUAUUUCAAAUUUUGAAUUUUGAUCUUUUCCAGGCUAGCAACAUAUGAAGACCAACCUUCUAUUUUUAAAAUAGGCUUUGUGUUAGAUGCUUUUGCCCAACUAUAGGUUAAUGUAAAUGUUCUGAGAAUAUUUGAGGAAGGCUAGGCUAAACUGUGAUCUUUGGGAGCUUAGAUAUGUUAAGUGCAUUUUCAACUUACAAUAUUUUCAACUUACGAUGAGUUUAUUGGGAUGAAGCCCGUUGUAAGUAAAGGAGCAUCUGCAUUAAGCUAAAAUCCAUGUCUAUAACUUCCUCAGUAAUAUCAAGUUUGUUCCUUGGAGCCAGAGAAUAAACUGAAUCCUUUUCCA